GACGAACGCUGGCGGCGUGCUUAACACAUGCAAGUCGAACGGAAAGGCCCUGCUUUUGUGGGGUGCUCGAGUGGCGAACGGGUGAGUAACACGUGAGUAACCUGUCCCUGACUUUGGGAUAACUUCAGGAAACUGGGGCUAAUACCGGAUAGGAGCUUCUGCUGCAUGGUGGGGGAUGGUAAGUUUCGGCGGUUGGGGAUCGACUCGCGGCUUAUCAGCUUGAUGGUGGGGUAGUGGCUUACCAAGGCUUUGACGGGUAGCCGGCAUGAGAGGGUUACCGGCCACAUUGGGAAUGGGUGACGGCGCAGACUCCUACGGGAGGCAGCGGUGGGGAAUAUUGCAGAGCGGGCGGGAGCAUGAUGCAGCAAUGCCGCGUGCGGGAAGACGGCCUUCGGGUUAUAAACCUAUUUCGCCUGUGACGAAGAGUGAGUGACGGUAAUGGGUAAGGAAGCUCCGGCUAACUACGUG
RNAcentral lists this ribosomal RNA (468 nucleotides) under uncultured bacterium. Its description in RNAcentral is "partial 16S ribosomal RNA". It matches the Rfam family "Bacterial small subunit ribosomal RNA", at positions 28 to 507 of the family's 1533-position model. The record is from RNAcentral.